Molecule: ribosomal RNA, 305 nt
Filed under: uncultured bacterium
Lineage: Bacteria
Description: bacterial SSU rRNA
Rfam family: Bacterial small subunit ribosomal RNA
Source: RNAcentral
UCCUACGGGGGGCAGCAGUGAGGAAUAUUGGUCAAUGGUCGGGAGACUGAACCAGCCAAGCCGCGUGAGGGAUGAAGGUACAGAGUAUCGUAAACCUCUUUUGUCAGGGAACAAAGGCGGGGACGUGUCCCCGGAUGAGUGUACCUGAAGAAAAAGCAUCGGCUAACUCCGUGCCAGCAGCCGCGGUAAUACGGAGGAUGCGAGCGUUAUCCGGAUUUAUUGGGUUUAAAGGGUGCGCAGGCGGUCUGUUAAGUCAGCGGUCAAAGCCCGGGGCUCAACCCCGGCCCGCCGUUGACACUGGCAGG